AUCUUAUCUCAUCUCAUCUCAACUUCCCGUCUUUGCUCGGAAGGUCAGGGGGCAACAUCAAUUAUCACACUUUUAGUACACCUCUGGGUUCUGAUUAUGAAUUCUACAGCUGCGUUGCUGAGUGUGGGUCGGCAGAAGAUGGAAGCCACAACAUUGUCCAGUGUGAAUGGACAAGUUACAGAUGCUACAACUAAUGAAACAAAUACAGAAGACUAUAGUGACUACUAUGAUCGAAAUGCUGAUUU
This is a long non-coding RNA of Sinocyclocheilus grahami, 245 nucleotides long. RefSeq lists it as uncharacterized. The transcript has 4 exons. The record is from RefSeq and is a predicted model, not a curated record. Lineage: Eukaryota; Metazoa; Chordata; Actinopteri; Cypriniformes; Cyprinidae.